Molecule: transfer RNA, 77 nt
Filed under: Nitriliruptor sp.
Lineage: Bacteria; Bacillati; Actinomycetota; Nitriliruptoria; Nitriliruptorales; Nitriliruptoraceae
Description: tRNA-Ala
Rfam family: tRNA
About the family: Transfer RNA (tRNA) molecules are approximately 80 nucleotides in length. Their secondary structure includes four short double-helical elements and three loops (D, anti-codon, and T loops).
Source: RNAcentral
GGGCCGGUAGCGCAGUCCGGCAGCGCACCUCCAUGGCAUGGAGGGGGUCGUGGGUUCAAAUCCCAUCCGGUCCACCC